RNAcentral lists this ribosomal RNA (230 nucleotides) under uncultured bacterium. RNAcentral describes it as "partial 16S ribosomal RNA". It matches the Rfam family "Bacterial small subunit ribosomal RNA", at positions 355 to 578 of the family's 1533-position model. The record is from RNAcentral.
UCGAGAAUUUUUCACAAUGGGCGCAAGCCUGAUGGAGCGACGCCGCGUGGGGGAUGAAUGGCUUCGGCCCGUAAACCCCUGUCAUUUGCGAUCAAACCUCGUUAUUUAAAAGAUGACGAGCUGAUGGUAGCGGAAGAGGAAGUGACGGCUAACUCUGUGCCAGCAGCCGCGGUAAUACAGAGGUCCCAAGCUUUGUUCGGAUUCACUGGGCGUAAAGGGUGAGUAGGUGG